RNAcentral lists this long non-coding RNA (2492 nucleotides) under Helianthus annuus (common sunflower). Its description in RNAcentral is "hypothetical non coding rna". The record is from RNAcentral. Lineage: Eukaryota; Viridiplantae; Streptophyta; Magnoliopsida; Asterales; Asteraceae.
UUGUUUCACAACAGAUGGUGAUUAAAUAUUUGUUUUAUUCCAUUAAUGAACUCAUUGUUUUAUUACAAACCAGAUAAAUACAAAUAAUUGUCUUUCAAGUUUUAAAGUCCCUAAGGCACGAGUCCAUCCUAUGUGUAGCAUGCAUCAACAAUCAUCACAUAGUAGCACCUGAAACAUAUGUGAAAAUAGGUGCGGAAUUACAAGAAACGGAGUUAGAAAUAGCUAAUUCUUCACUAAAACUGCUGAUUGUAUUGAUUAACACUCGAUUACACGUAGUUCAUCACACCGGCAGCACUUCGGCAUGGAAUACAAGACAAUUGAUCUGGUUUCGCUCAUAUGAAUACCUAUAUAUAGUUGCUGUGGUUUCGCUUAUAAGUACCUGUCCACAUAAGCGAAACCCCUAUGUUCACAUAAGCGAAACCUCUAGCCUAUGACCAUAUGAGCGAAACCUGCUCACUAAUUACAUACAUUUUCAGUUUUCUUGUAAAACGCGCCCUAAACAAUACAAUACAAUGUAAGACUCGAUACAAGACGAAGUCGACAGAUGUAGUGUACCAACAGACUCCCCCUCAGAUGUUGACGAGUUGACUAUCGAGUCACGACAUUACUGUUUCUUCACUUCUUCAGUCUUGAUCAGUCUCUAAUGCAACUUAAUUCAACAUAAAGGUUGCAUUAAAAGAUAUAAUGUAACCUUUUCACAAAAAAGUUACAAAAUAUUAUUAAAAUUGCAACUUUUUUAUUUAAAUGUUGCAUAUUUUACUAAAAAUUGCAACUUUUUCUUUAAAGGUUGCAUGUUUUAUUGAAAUUUGUAACUUUUGUUAUAAAAGUUGCGUUGUUAAAACUUGAAUGCAAUUCUAGUGUUAAAAGGUUGCAUAAUUCAAUUAGUGACAAAAAAAAAAAAAAAAAAAAACGCAGAAUAUUUUUAUAGUAAAUAGUAAAGAACUUUUAUUGUUAUUUUGGUGAUGUUUGAUACUCAUAUAAUAUUUUUUUAAUAAAAUAAAUGGUAGGAUAAAUUUUUCUCGGAAUGUAAAAAAAACUUUUCGAUCUUUUUAGAAAAAUAACCUGUCGAUCCAAUGAAAUUUAAAAAAAUAUAUUUUUGUAGGAAAAUUGAUACACUAAUAGUAAUGGAGAAAAUUGUCAUUAUUGUCUAUUUUUUAAAUAUUUUCUAUCCGUUAUAUCUUAAGGUCGGUAUGCACGGUAGGAUGAGCAAAGGUACCGAAUUUAUCGAACAGGGUACAUUUUCGGUACCGACUUUUGACAUUUCAGGCACCGGUUCGGUACCGAUCCGGUAUGGUAUUUACUGGUUCGGUACCGGUGUUUACUCUUAAAUACCGGUACCGAACCGUACUGGGUAUAUUCGGUACCGGUACCUACUUUUGGGAAUUUCGAUACCGGUACCGAGCUCAUCCCUUGCACGGAUAAAAUGAGUAUAUAUAAACAUUAUUAUAUAAUGUUAUUAUUAUCAAAUAAUUAUUAAUUUAUAAGAAAAACUAAUUAUGUUUUUUCUAUUUUAAGUCGAACUUUUUCCUCUAAAGUUCCUCUAAAUAUAUCUACGAUUGGAAUUUUGGCUCCAUAACCCCAAAGUGAAGUGCCGCCCAAAUAUCCAUUGGAAUUUGCCCUAAUUUACACACUUCAGAGAAUAGGCGAAUCGAUCUGCACACCAUGAAGCCGCCGGCGAUUCGAUCCGCAGACUGUGAAUCAGCGUCGCUUUUCUUCUGGUUCAGGGGGACAAAUUUAAUUUUCUGAAGCAUAAAAGAGAAAGAAGGUGUUAGCUUCAAGAACCAUGUCAUACAGAUAUGUAAAACUAGCAGAGGAAAGAGCUAAAGAAUGAUAAAAUGCAAGCCUAAGGAUAAUGAUCAACUUCCUGAAGUUUUGUGAGUUGCACUGCAAGUAUAUACCGACUUUCUCAUGAGUGUUUUGGAAAUACUGAAUGCAAUACUGAUAAACGUGUUGUCAAGGAACCGAAAGAAUAAUAUUUAAGGAACAAAUGAAGGGCUAUCUUCAAAAGAUGGAAGUGCUUCCGUGGAUUAAUUUGUGGCUGUGACAAACAAAGAGCAUACGGACACCGUUGACUUUAUGGUAGAGGCGUUAUUAACAAAUCGAUAAAAAAAGUGGAUGGUUGUGAUAUACCUACCAUACAUGAUUCCAAGGGACUUAUGGAAUCACUCAAAGCUAGUGUCGAAGUUAAAACAAUUAUUUGCAUGAAAUGCGAAAAGAUAUUAAAGAGGAUCGUGAAAGGAAAAAACGCCGAGCAUGAAAUGCGAAAAGAUAUUAAAGAGGAUCGUGAAAGGAAAAAACGCCAAGUUAGAAGCCACAUGGAAAUAUAAUUGACAACCCAUAAGAAAACACUCAAGCAACUACCUUUUAGAGGUGGAGAGUUUUGAACAUGUGUAGAAGGUUUUUGUUACUCUUAAUUAAUUGUAAUUGACAACUUUGUGUUGAAUACAUUAUUUUGAGUUUGAACAUAUAUGUUAAAGUACAUAAAGAUUCUU